Molecule: ribosomal RNA, 497 nt
Filed under: uncultured bacterium
Lineage: Bacteria
Description: partial 16S ribosomal RNA
Rfam family: Bacterial small subunit ribosomal RNA
Source: RNAcentral
GAUGAACGCUGGCGGCGUGCCUAAUACAUGCAAGUCGAGCGAACAGACGAGGAGCUUGCUCCUCUGACGUUAGCGGCGGACGGGUGAGUAACACGUGGAUAACCUACCUAUAAGACUGGGAUAACUUCGGGAAACCGGAGCUAAUACCGGAUAAUAUAUUGAACCGCAUGGUUCAAUAGUGAAAGACGGUUUUGCUGUCACUUAUAGAUGGAUCCGCGCCGCAUUAGCUAGUUGGUAAGGUAACGGCUUACCAAGGCAACGAUGCGUAGCCGACCUGAGAGGGUGAUCGGCCACACUAGAACUGAGACACGGUCCAGACUCCGACGGGAGGCAGCAGUAGGGAAUCUUCCGCAAUGGGCGAAAGCCUGACGGAGCAACGCCGCGUGAGUGAUGAAGGUCUUCGGAUCGUAAAACUCUGUUAUUAGGGAAGAACAAAUGUGUAAGUAACUAUGCACGUCUUGAGGGUACCUAAUCAGAAAGCCACGGCUAACUACAUG